RNAcentral lists this long non-coding RNA (302 nucleotides) under Phoenix dactylifera (date palm). RNAcentral's name for it is "long non-coding RNA (PDAC_LNC021135)". The record is from RNAcentral. Lineage: Eukaryota; Viridiplantae; Streptophyta; Magnoliopsida; Arecales; Arecaceae.
AGACCAGAGAGCCGAGGCCAGAAGGCCGAGACCAGAGAGCGCCGACCAGAAAGGCAACCCCGCCGAGCCCAUGCCUUGGCCAAAUAUCUAAUCUCCGCCUAACCCUCCAAAGAAUCUGACAACUAAAUAUAUGACUCCACUUCAAUCUGCCACCAUCCCCAAGUCAUUAAGGCACAAGAUCUCCGCAGGCAUUCGGCACACCCUAUCAUUAAUGCAUGAGACCCCCUCAGGCCUCCGAUGCACUCAGUCAUUAAAUGAACACGGCUCAAGAUGAUCUCCGGAUCACUGAACCAUCAAAACGU